RNAcentral lists this ribosomal RNA (440 nucleotides) under uncultured bacterium. RNAcentral describes it as "partial 16S ribosomal RNA". It matches the Rfam family "Bacterial small subunit ribosomal RNA", at positions 338 to 795 of the family's 1533-position model. The record is from RNAcentral.
CCUACGGGUGGCAGCAGUGGGGAAUAUUGCACAAUGGGGGAAACCCUGAUGCAGCGACGCCGCGUGAGUGAAGAAGGAAUUCGGUAUGUAAAGCUCUAUCAGCAGGGAAGAAAGUGAUGGUACCUGAGUAAUAAGCCCCGGCUAACUACGGGCCAGCAGCCGCGGUAAUACGUAGGGGGCAAGGGUUAUGCGGAUUUACUGGGUGAAAAGGGAGUGUAGACGGCAGGGCAAGUCAGGAGUGAAAGCCGGGGGCUAAACCCGCGGACUGCUCUGGAAACUGGACGGCUGGAGUGCAGGAGAGGUAAGUGGAAUUCCUAGUGUAGCGGUGAAAUGCGUAGAUAUUAGGAGGAACACCAGUGGCGAAGGCGGCUUACUGGACUGAAACUGACGUUGAGGUUCGAAAGCGUGGGGAGCAAACAGGAUUAGAUACCCUGGUAGUC